Molecule: ribosomal RNA, 509 nt
Filed under: uncultured bacterium
Lineage: Bacteria
Description: bacterial SSU rRNA
Rfam family: Bacterial small subunit ribosomal RNA
Source: RNAcentral
ACUGAAUAGAUACCUGGGUAGUCCUAGCCCUAAACGAUGAAUGCUUGGUGUGGCGGGUAUCGAUCCCUGCCGUGCCGAAAGCUAACGCAUUAAGCAUUCCGCCUGGGGAGUACGGUCGCAAGGCUGAAACUCAAAGGGAAUUGACGGGGGCCCGCACAAGCGGUGGAGCAUGUGGUUUAAUUCGACGCAACGCGAAGAACCUUACCCAGGCUUGAACUGCAGAGGACAAUCUACGAAAGUAGACUUCCGCAAGGACCUCUGUAGAGGUGCUGCAUGGCUGUCGUCAGCUCGUGUCGUGAGAUGUUGGGUUAAGUCCCGCAACGAGCGCAACCCUUGUCUUCUGUUGCCAUCAGGUUAAGCUGGGCACUCUGAAGAGACUGCCGGUGACAAACCGGAGGAAGGUGGGGAUGACGUCAAGUCAGCAUGGCCUUUAUGUCUGGGGCCACACACGUGCUACAAUGGCAGGUACAAACCGUCGCGAGACCGCAAGGUGGAGCUAAUCGGAGAAA